Molecule: long non-coding RNA, 825 nt
Filed under: Homo sapiens (human)
Lineage: Eukaryota; Metazoa; Chordata; Mammalia; Primates; Hominidae
Description: HSALNT0036968
Source: RNAcentral
GCAAUUUCUAUAUUGGAAGAAUAUGGACUAACUAUACAAAGGAUGAAAUUCCUUAAGAGAAGAGGGUGGGUGGAGGAACAAAAAACCAUGCACAGCACUGAAGAGCUUAUUUGGUCAUCUGCUUUGUCACUUUCAGAUAAUGGAAUCAGAGGAUAAGCAUUGUGAUGCAUCAUAUAGAAUCUCCUUUCAAAUAAAGUUAUGAAAAUGGGGAUGGCAUUCCAUUUCCUGAAAUGCAUCAGUGCAAAGAAAAUACUUAUUAAGUGCCGACAGACAGUGUGCAAAGGAACUGGAGUUGCAGAAAUAACCAAGCUCUGAAAAAGCAGCAUACUACAUAGGAAACAGUGCAACGAGGAGAGACAUAUUGAUGCUUGCAGACUUGGCAUUUUCACAAACACAAAACUGGCUUUGCCUGACAGGAUGUUUUAGGAAAACUUACCUAAGGAUUCGUCCAUGUAGUUUUCAGCAAGAACAAAAUUUUCACUUGCGCUCACCAAGGGCUUAAGUGUCUUCCCCCAGGGUGUGCUGAGGUUGAGAGAUCAACGGAGCUAUUUUCAAUUAGGACAGAAAGCACAAUUUGUUUGGCUCAACCAAAAUUGCCAGAGUGUUAUCACAAGGUGAACUCAAAGUAACUAUUAUCUGGACACCAAUUUAGCAUAUUGCUGUGCCUUUUUUUUUUUUAACUGUAUGCUGCUCUAACAAAAAGGCUUGUCUAAAGGCAUUAAAGGAUAUGAAACAAUAUUUGGUUCUGAAUUGAUAUAUCUCCCAUCAGGAGACCAAGUAAUAUCCAGAAUUAUUAAAUUAGAUAAAAACAUGCAUGAGGUUAAG